RNAcentral lists this long non-coding RNA (504 nucleotides) under Coffea arabica (coffee). RNAcentral describes it as "long non-coding RNA (CARA_LNC000566)". Lineage: Eukaryota; Viridiplantae; Streptophyta; Magnoliopsida; Gentianales; Rubiaceae. The record is from RNAcentral.
GUAAAAAAAACAGAGGAAGAGGAGAGCAAGAAAAGAAGGAAAAUAUGGGGAAAUUGAGGGAAUUCUUCAGGGGUAAUCAAAAUGAGAGAGGGAGAACCAGAGAGUAAGCCAGAGGAGAAAGGCUUCGGCAAAGUGAAGGAAAAAAUUGAAGAAAAACAGAGCAAGAAAGGAAAAAUUGAGGAAGAAUUUCGGGCAAGAAGGAAAGGAAAAGAAGUGACUUGGCAGAGGGAUUGAAACUUGUUGCCAGUUCUGGGAUUUUUCCAUUACUACCUGCGAAUCUUCACUGAACAAGAGCACUGUAAGUUUCUUUUCUCUCUAAAAAUUUCAGUUCUUGUCCAGUUUUUGAAAUGGGUUUUCCGUGAUUUCAUUUGGUGCAAUUUUCCUGUCAAUUGGCCUCAUUUUUUUGAAUACACAUGCUGCAUACGUUGAUUGAGCUGAAUGUCUUGGUAUCUGAUAAUUUUUGGGGCUAGUUAUAACUUCAAUUCGAGCAAAAAUCUGGUAAAA